CCCUGAAGAGAUAAUGAUUUUGAAAUUAUUUCAAAGGAGACGUCUUUCAGUGGGAGUCCCUGACAAAGAAAGUCCCCAACAAUAAAAAAGUGAUGAAAUGAAAUUGAUAAUAUUGAAAAUCACCAGUGAGUGAGUCAACAUUGCUCCAUGCAGAGAAGACGGAAGUCUCACAAAAAUCUGCAGAUCUAGCUGUGAACUUCUUGUGCCGCACUGCUGGGAAGGAAGAGCGGAUCACAGACUGAAUAACCUGGAACUAGAAGCCACAGGGAAGCUCAUCACAGGAUCUGUCAAUCCGAGUAAUAUCCAUCAGUCACAGUUGUUCUUCAGGGUUAGCUCUCCAGACACGAAUGCAGGUAAAUGUUUAUGUGUUUUAACAAAAUGAUGCUGAGUUCAUUAAACAACUGAGAAAGGCAU
Long non-coding RNA from Dromaius novaehollandiae (emu), 414 nucleotides. RefSeq lists it as uncharacterized. The transcript is spliced from 4 exons. The record is from RefSeq and is a predicted model, not a curated record. NCBI's taxonomy places the organism in Eukaryota, Metazoa, Chordata, Aves, Casuariiformes, Dromaiidae.